RNAcentral lists this ribosomal RNA (218 nucleotides) under uncultured bacterium. RNAcentral's name for it is "partial 16S ribosomal RNA". It matches the Rfam family "Bacterial small subunit ribosomal RNA", at positions 524 to 740 of the family's 1533-position model. The record is from RNAcentral.
UACGUAGGGUGCAAGCGUUAAUCGGAAUUACUGGGCGUAAAGCGUGCGCAGGCGGCUAUGCAAGACAGAUGUGAAAUCCCCGGGCUCAACCUGGGAACUGCAUUUGUGACUGCAUAGCUAGAGUACGGUAGAGGGGGAUGGAAUUCCGCGUGUAGCAGUGAAAUGCGUAGAUAUGCGGAGGAACACCGAUGGGCGAAGGCAGAUCUCUGGGCCGUAAC